ACCCGCUGAACUUAAGCAUAUCAAUAAGCGGAGGAAAAGAAACCAACAGGGAUUGUCCUAGUAACGGCGAGUGAAGCGGCAACAGCUCAAAUUUGAAAGCUAGCCUUCGGGUUCGCAUUGUAAUUUGUAGAGGACGAUUUGGGGAAGCCGCCUGUCUAAGUUCCUUGGAACAGGACGUCAUAGAGGGUGAGAAUCCCGUAUGUGACAGGAAAUGGCACCCUAUGUAAAUCUCCUUCGACGAGUCGAGUUGUUUGGGAAUGCAGCUCUAAAUGGGAGGUAAAUUUCUUCUAAAGCUAAAUAUUGGCGAGAGACCGAUAGCGCACAAGUAGAGUGAUCGAAAGAUGAAAAGCACUUUGGAAAGAGAGUUAAAAAGCACGUGAAAUUGUUGAAAGGGAAGCGCUUGCAAUCAGACUUGUUUAAACUGUUCGGCCGGUCUUCUGACCGGUUUACUCAGUUUGGACAGGCCAGCAUCAGUUUCGGCGGCCGGAUAAAGGCUCUGGGAAUGUGGCCUCCACUUCGGUGGAGGUGUUAUAGCCCAGGGUGUAAUACGGCCGGCCGGGACUGAGGUCCGCGCUUCGGCUAGGAUGCUGGCGUAAUGGUUGUAAGCGACCCGUCUUGAAACACGGACC
RNAcentral lists this ribosomal RNA (629 nucleotides) under Aureobasidium pullulans. RNAcentral describes it as "eukaryotic LSU rRNA". It matches the Rfam family "Eukaryotic large subunit ribosomal RNA", at positions 23 to 667 of the family's 3401-position model. Lineage: Eukaryota; Fungi; Ascomycota; Dothideomycetes; Dothideales; Saccotheciaceae. The record is from RNAcentral.